CACUGCAAGACAAGUAGUCGCGAGAGGUGGAUGGACACCACACUAAAGGCGAGAAGAGGUAGCUUGCCUCUGGCUCCUACCAAAAGGGUGGCUUGGCCCUGUGAUCGUGGAGAGAAGGAUGAGAUCUUGGAAUUAUAUAAGCUGCAGAGAAUGCUGCAAGGCCAGCUAUGGAUGGUUGGAGAAUCGAGCACGAAAGUCUGUGAUAACGUUGUGCUGGGCUAGUGACAAACCACAUGUUGGGGCGUACAGUGGUGAAAAUGAUUUCUCUCCUGUAUGUUUACUAUCUUUUGCUUGAGGUGCUUGCUUGCUCGCGCUGCUUGCUUGCAUUGAAUGAUCUGGAAGACAAAAAUAUAAAGACUUUUUUAUCGAA
Molecule: long non-coding RNA, 370 nt
Organism: Selaginella moellendorffii
Lineage: Eukaryota; Viridiplantae; Streptophyta; Lycopodiopsida; Selaginellales; Selaginellaceae
Exons: 3
Source: RefSeq, a predicted model, not a curated record